This 209-nucleotide ribosomal RNA is filed under the name uncultured bacterium. Its description in RNAcentral is "partial 16S ribosomal RNA". It matches the Rfam family "Bacterial small subunit ribosomal RNA", at positions 1292 to 1500 of the family's 1533-position model. The record is from RNAcentral.
UUCGGAUUGUAGUCUGCAACCCGACUACAUGAAGCUGGAAUCGCUAGUAAUCGCGGAUCAGAAUGCCGCGGUGAAUACGUUCCCGGGUCUUGUACACACCGCCCGUCACACCAUGGGAGUCGGAAAUGCCCGAAGUCUGUGACCUAACCGUAAGGAAGGAGCAGCCGAAGGCAGGUCGGAUGACUGGGGUGAAGUCGUAACAAGGUAAC